AUACCAAUACAGGCCCAAUGGGACUGUGUUUGGAAUGAGUGUAAUUUAAAAACCUUAUCAAGGAACGAUUGGAGGGCAAGUCUGGUGCCAGCAGCCGCGGUAAUUCCAGCUCCAAUAGUGUAUACUAAAGUUGCUGCAGUUAAAAAGCUCGUAGUUGGAAUUCGGUUAAUGAAUUGAUAGUCUAUAUUUUAUAUAUACGCACUGUUAAUUCAUUUCCUUUUUUUUAGGUUUAACCACUUUUAGUGAUUUUCCUAAAUAUUUUACUUUGAGAAAAUUAGAGUGUUCAAAGCAGGCGUAACUAAGCCUUUGAAUAUAUUAGCAUGGGAUAAUGAAAUAAGACUUUUUGCCUUAUUCUCGUUGGUUCAUAGGGCUAAAGUAAUGAUUAAUAGGGAUAGUUGGGGUCAUUAGUAUUUAAUUGUCAGAGGUGAAAUUCUAAGAUUUAUUAAAGACUAACUACUGCGAAAGCAUUUGACAAGGAUGUUUUCAUUAAUCAAGAACGAAAGUUGGGGGAUCGAAGAUGAUCAGAUACCGUCGUAGUCUCAACCAUAAACUAUGCCGACCAAGGAUUCGGGGGUGUUAAAUGAAUGACUCUCCGGGCACUUAUAGAGAAAUCAUAAGUAUUUGGGUUCCGGGGGGAGUAUGGUCGCAAGGCUGAAACUUAAAGGAAUUGACGGAAGGGCACCACCAGGAGUGGAACUUGCGGUUUAAUUUGACCCAACACGGGGAAACUUACCAGGUCCAGACACAGUAAGGAUUGACAGAUUGAGAGCUCUUUCUUGAUUUUGUGGGUGGUGGUGCAUGGCCGUUUCUAGUUGGUGGAGUGAUUUGUCUGGUUAAUUCCGUUAACGAACGAGACCUUAACCUAUUAAAUAGUAAUACGAACUUGUACUCUUUUGUACAAUUUGUUUGUAAAUGACUUCUUAGAGGGACUCUUCACAUACAGAGUGAAUGGAAGUUUGAGGCAAAAACAGGUCUGUGAUGCCCUUAGAUGUUCUGGGCUACACGCGUGUUACACUGAUAUACUCAACAAGUUAAAACUUUCCUUACCUGGUGAGGUUGGGUAAUCUUCUAAAUGUAUAUCGUGAUGGGGAUUGAUCAUUGUAAUUAUUGAUCAUGAACGAGGAAUUCCUAGUAAGUGCAAGUCAUAAACUUGCGCUGAUUACGUCCCUGCCCUUUGUACACACCGCCGUCGCUUCUACCGAUGAAUGAUCCGAUGAGGACUUAGGAUGGUCUUGGAUCUUGGUUAUAAAAUGCCAAUCCAUUGUUUAUCAGAAUUCGUUCAAAUCUUAUCAUUUAGAGGAAGGAGAAGUCGUAACAAGGU
This 1321-nucleotide ribosomal RNA is filed under the name metagenome. RNAcentral describes it as "SSU rRNA". It matches the Rfam family "Eukaryotic small subunit ribosomal RNA", at positions 477 to 1800 of the family's 1831-position model. The record is from RNAcentral.